Molecule: ribosomal RNA, 372 nt
Filed under: uncultured bacterium
Lineage: Bacteria
Description: bacterial SSU rRNA
Rfam family: Bacterial small subunit ribosomal RNA
Source: RNAcentral
AACGAACGCUGGCGGCAUGCCUAACACAUGCAAGUCGAACGGGAUCCUAGCUUGCUAGGUGAGAGUGGCGGACGGGUGAGUAACACGUGGGAAUCUGCCUUUUGGUUCGGGAUAACCGCGGGAAACUGCGGCUAAUACCGAAUGCCCUCGAGAGAGGAAAGAUUUAUCGCCAGAAGAGGAGCCCGCGUCCGAUUAGGUAGUUGGUGGGGUAAAGGCCUACCAAGCCGACGAUCGGUAGCUGGUCUGAGAGGAUGAUCAGCCACACUGGGACUGAGAUACGGCCCAGACUCCUACGGGAGGCAGCAGUGGGAAUAAUUGGAACAAUGGGGGCAACCCUGAUCCAGCAAUGCCGCGUGAGUGAUGAAGGCCUUA